GAUGAACGCUGGCGGCGUGCCUAAUACAUGCAAGUCGAGCGAACAGACGAGGAGCUUGCUCCUCUGACGUUAGCGGCGGACGGGUGAGUAACACGUGGAUAACCUACCUAUAAGACUGGGAUAACUUCGGGAAACCGGAGCUAAUACCGGAGAAUAUAUUGAACCGCAUGGUUCAAUAGUGAAAGACGGUUUUGCUGUCACUUAUAGAUGGAUCCGCGCCGCAUUAGCUAGUUGGUAAGGUAACGGCUUACUAAGGCAACGAGGCGUAGCCGACCUGAGAGGGUGAUAGCCCACACUGGAACGGAGACACGGUCCAGACUCCUACGGGAGGCAGCAGUAGGGAAUCGUCCGCAAUGGGCGAAAGCCUGACGGAGCAACGCCGCGUGAGUUAUGAAGGUCUUCGGAUCGUAAAACUCUGUUAUUAGGUAAGAACAAAUGUGUAAGUAACUAUGCACGUCUUGACGGUACCUAAUCAGAAAGCCACGGCUAACUACGUG
Molecule: ribosomal RNA, 497 nt
Filed under: uncultured bacterium
Lineage: Bacteria
Description: partial 16S ribosomal RNA
Rfam family: Bacterial small subunit ribosomal RNA
Source: RNAcentral